RNAcentral lists this ribosomal RNA (441 nucleotides) under uncultured bacterium. RNAcentral's name for it is "partial 16S ribosomal RNA". It matches the Rfam family "Bacterial small subunit ribosomal RNA", at positions 338 to 795 of the family's 1533-position model. The record is from RNAcentral.
CCUACGGGGGGCAGCAGUGGGGAAUAUUGCACAAUGGGGGAAACCCUGAUGCAGCGACGCCGCGUGAGUGAAGAAGUAUUUCGGUAUGUAAAGCUCUAUCAGCAGGGAAGAAGAAAGACGGUACCUGACUAAGAAGCCCCGGUCAACUACGUGGCAGUAGCCGCGGUAAUACGUAGGGGGCAAGCGUUAUCCGGAUUUACUGGGUGUAAAGGGAGCGUAGACGGGUGUGCAAGUCUGAAGUGAAAGCCCGGGGCUCAACCCUGGGACUGCUUUGGAAACUGUGGGGCUAGAGUGCUGGAGAGGUAAGUGGAAUUCCUGGUGUAGCGGUGAAAUGCGUAGAUAUUAGGAAGAACACCAGUGGCGAAGGCGGCUUACUGGACAGUAACUGACGUUGAGGCUCGAAAGCGUGGGGAGCAAACAGGAUUAGAUACCCCGGUAGUC